This 239-nucleotide non-coding RNA is filed under the name Tepidibacillus sp. Its description in RNAcentral is "T-box sequence". It matches the Rfam family "T-box leader". From Rfam's summary of the family: Uncharged tRNA acts as the effector for transcription antitermination of genes in the T-box leader family. T-boxes are found upstream of many aminoacyl-tRNA synthetase genes and some amino acid biosynthetic genes usually in Gram-positive bacteria. The anticodon of a specific tRNA base pairs to a specifier sequence within the T-box motif, and the NCCA acceptor tail of the tRNA base pairs to a conserved bulge in the T-box antiterminator hairpin. The record is from RNAcentral. Lineage: Bacteria; Bacillati; Bacillota; Bacilli; Caryophanales; Bacillaceae.
AAAAUAACGAUGAAAGAGAAUUUUAAUGAUAGAGGAGCAAAGAGAGCCAGUGGUAGGUGGAAACUGGAGGAAUCUACAUUAAAAUAGCGCUCUGGAGUUGUCAAAUCGAAAAUUGAGUAGGUUUGACCGGUUAAAGCCGUUAUCAGAGUAGAUAGUGUUUACACUACCUAUAGAGAUCAUUAUUGUGAAAUAAUGAUAAAUUAGGGUGGUACCACGAAAGAUAACCUUUCGUCCCUAUA